ACCCGGGUGGUGGAACUGGUAGACACGCCGGACUUAAAAUCCUGUGAUCUGCAAAGGUCGUACGGGUUCAACUCCCGUCCCGGGUA
Molecule: transfer RNA, 86 nt
Organism: Flavihumibacter petaseus NBRC 106054
Lineage: Bacteria; Pseudomonadati; Bacteroidota; Chitinophagia; Chitinophagales; Chitinophagaceae
Rfam family: tRNA
About the family: Transfer RNA (tRNA) molecules are approximately 80 nucleotides in length. Their secondary structure includes four short double-helical elements and three loops (D, anti-codon, and T loops).
Source: Rfam